This is a long non-coding RNA of Anguilla rostrata (American eel), 1717 nucleotides long. RefSeq lists it as uncharacterized. The transcript has 2 exons. The record is from RefSeq and is a predicted model, not a curated record. NCBI's taxonomy places the organism in Eukaryota, Metazoa, Chordata, Actinopteri, Anguilliformes, Anguillidae.
GGGCAACACAUGAGGAUUUGGUGAUAUAACGCAGUGAAGGACGUUACAGAGACAUACACAGAUUUAAGAACCUUUUCUUCAAUGGAUGCAUGAUUGGCGUCUCGAUGCUCUUUUGGUCCCACCGCCCGGAGGACGAGAUCAGGUCCAGGAACUGAAGAGAGAAGCGUGAAAUGAACUACAGCGCCAAUAGCGAGAGCGGUCUGUGCACACCUCCCACACAGAGGCCAGCGCUCUGACCACAGAUGCCUGUCUCCAGAGUGAAGAGAACAGCUCAUCCUGAUGCGUCGCAGAAGGGGAAACACUCACAUUUUUCACCGCAUCCGCGUAUUUCUGCUCGUUGAAGUAGUCAUAAAACGCUGCCAUGUAGGCCUCUUUGAAACUGGCCUGUGGAAAGGGAGCAAGAGAGAGAUUUUUUGAGUCUUAACAAAACCUUCAUUGUAAAAUACACACACCCAGUCUCACACCACCAACCCUCAAUAGCAGGAAACAAAAUAGCAAAAUCGAAACGAACAAAAAAAGAAAAAACAAUACAAUGAAAACUACAAAAUUGACAUAUAACCAUUCAUCACACCAUUAUCUUAGUAUGCUGUUAAGUACUAGUUCUCCCUCCAGACUGCAUUCUGAGAGAGAGAGAGAGCAGUCACUAUGUUCUCCCCCCUCCCAAAAAAGACAGAAUUAGAAAAGCCUGCAUUUCCUAGGCAGGGUGAGGAUAUGGGUCUGUGAGAUGAACCCAUGGCAUGACCCAUCCCGCUGUCCAACUGCAAAGUGAAAAUGAGCAUCUAGAUACUGGAUAUCACAACAGCUGCAGACUCACAGAUUUGGACUUGGCGAGACUGCCCAGGGUCUGUAUGGUCUUGGAGAUGAGAGUCAAGGUUCGAGAGGUGCACGGAUCCUGUAGAGAGACACACGGGUGAGUUCUCACUCUGUUCCACUCACGCACCCCCAAAUCUCCUUUAGGUACAGCACUCACACUACGCUUCACUCCAUACUUGCACACUGCUGCAGAAUAAUGCUUACUAAUGCACAUCUUGGGGUGCAGUAUGCUGCAUGGAGGCUUCACAUUUACCAGGGCAUGAUUUGAGGAGAGUUUGUCAGACUGGGUUAGAGGAGGGAUUGUCUAGGGAUGCAGGUGUAUUUCUAAAAGACUUUCACAAUGUCAUGUAGUGGAUUGUGCUAGUUAUGCACUGAAUCGAACUGGAUAGAUGACUAACACACAAGCCCUGGCCCCAUUAUGUCAGUCUCCCAUAUGAAGCAAAACUGAGGACUGGGGAUAUCUUAUUAGUAAGGUGAGGAAAAAAAGUAUUCUUAGAUACCAGCAGCUUUACAUGUAUAAUUCACUGCAGUCUUCGCUAGUGAUGUGAGAAUUAUAGGGGUGUGUGCAGUCAUCGAGUUGUGUGGGGAGAGCAGUCAUUGUGUAGCAUGGGGGGAAAUAAUGAGGCUUUGCACUGAUUGGGCGGUUCAUGAGGACGUGUACUCACUGGGUGGUGUGGCCUCAGUUGGAAAAGAUUAGGAGACAGGAUUGCCGGCGCGAAGAAACGCAGGAAGAUGAAACUGCUGACAGCGGUGUACCUGACAUCUUGAUCAACUGUUGGAACAAACACAUUUUAGAUCCUACAGGUGUAUUCACAUUCCUGUAACUACCACGAUGCAUCCACACAAACCCUCAAAAUUACACAUUAAAUCAACACUGUAAGAGAACCCUGAGUAAAAUUGGAAA